AGCUCGAUUGGUGCAAUAGUUCGUGAGAUAUGACAAAAUGUUGGAAAAAACUUAUUUUUGCACAUUGCAGCAAAUAGCAAAAAAAAGUUUUUUCCAACAUUUUGUCAUAUCUCACGAACUAUUGCACCAAUCGAGCU
This is a non-coding RNA of Paramuricea clavata, 137 nucleotides long. Lineage: Eukaryota; Metazoa; Cnidaria; Anthozoa; Malacalcyonacea; Plexauridae. The record is from the annotation of a GenBank genome assembly.